This is a long non-coding RNA of Hypanus sabinus (Atlantic stingray), 11176 nucleotides long. RefSeq lists it as uncharacterized. The transcript has 2 exons. NCBI's taxonomy places the organism in Eukaryota, Metazoa, Chordata, Chondrichthyes, Myliobatiformes, Dasyatidae. The record is from RefSeq and is a predicted model, not a curated record.
CAAUAGAGGCGUCUAAGAGGCUGUUAGAAAUCUGCGUAAAAAAGCAGAGGAUGGAAGGAUUUGGACCAUGUGCAGGUACAAGGACUAGUUUCAAUAGGUAUCAUUGGCUUCAAUAACGUUGUGUGGUGAAGAGCCUGCUCCUGUGCUGUACUGUUACACAGUACCGGGCAAAAGUCUUAGGCACAUGUACGUAGAUAGGGUACCUGAGGAUUUUGCACGGUACUGUAUUUGUCAACAUGGAGCAGAGAGCAAGUUUGUGAAUCUGGCAGGAGCAAAGGAUGUUGGGAAUAGCAAGGGGUAGAGUGCCCCGGGUGAGAUGUAGGACAGGUGGCAGAGAAGGCAUGCCGGUUGGAGGUAGGGGUCACCGUGGAGGUAGGGGUCACCGUGGGGUCACACAGCUGUGAGACACCGGUGAAGGUAAUUUAUUUCCAAGCAAUUUGAUAAAUGGUCAUCACCAGUAUGUCUCUCUGGUGCCUUUCACUCCUUUCCCUCUCUCCUCCUCUUUUACCAACUAUGAUUCCUCUCUCCCUGCCCCUUUUCAACCCUUAGUCCAGAGUAGAAACCCCAUAUCAGAAUCAAGUUUAUCAUCAGUCAAAUAUGUCAUGAUUUUUUUAAAAUUUUGUUUUUGUGGCAGUAAUACAGUGCAAUACAUAAAAUUACUACAGUACAGUGCAAAAACCAUAGGAUCCCUAGCUAUGUAUAUGUCCCUAAGACUUUUACACAGUGCUGUAUUUUCUAUGUUCUGUGUUCUAUCCCACAUGACUUUACUCAUUUCCAAUCUCUGUCUAUGCACACAAUGGUCUACCCUUUGAAUCCACCCACCGAAGUGCAUGAACUCAGAUUGUUCCAUAUUAAACUUAAACUUGGGGUGUUUACCAUGUCAUCAUUCAAAGGAUCUGCUGAACAUUCAGAUUUUUUAAUCACUCCUAAUGAUAAAUGGGUAUCUGUCAUUCAGUAACGUCUCUUCCUGUAUCCACGUGAAGCAAACAAUAUUGUCAAACUUUGAUCUGGCUCGUCAGUUUGAGCUCCAAGGGAUCUACCUCUACCAGCAGUGAUGGAGUAGUCUCUACAAAUCUCUUUGAUGCAUUGAAAAGUGGAGGGCCAGCACUUUUUGGACAUGAAUAGUUCAGAAAAAAAUCGAACUAGACUGGCACACAAUCAAAGCUCUCAAUGUAAUCAACAGGCAGCUGCAGCGCAAACGAUAGCACUAACCAGGAGAUGUCACAACUGUUUAAUGCUAAUGAAUGUGUUUGAGAAGGGUACUGGUAAAUUUAAAGGCAUGAAGGUCAGAAUUGAACUGGAUGAAGCAGCGACAGCAAUGUUCCAUGAAGCACGUCCAGUAUCUUACACAUUACGCCCUAAAGUGGAUGCUGAACUUCAAAGCUUGGAGGCAUCUGGAAUUUUCUCCAAGGUUGAGUGGAGUGAUUGGGCCACGCCCAUUGUCCCGAUGACCAAAAAUGGAAGGCUGAAGCAGUUCGCAUAUGCUUGGACCAAGGAGAGCAUGAACCCUGUGCUGUGUACUAUGCAGUAUCCCCUGCGAAGAAUAGAAGACAUUUUCAACCUUUGGCAUGUGAGAGACGUUUCCAAUGACUGACAAGCCAAUCUGCAAAUGGAGAUCGAGGAGUCAAGCAGAAAGUUCCUCACAGUCAACACUCACAGGGACUGUACCAGUGGAAUCAUCUCACCUUUGCCAUUACAUCAGCUCCAGCAAUUUGGCAAAGAGCAGUAGACCAAAUGCUCCAAGAUAUCCCAGGAACACAACGUUACCUUAAUGACAUCAUUGUAACUGGCAAGAAUGAUGAAGAGCACCUCCAAAACCUUAGUAAAGUGCUUACCAGGCUGAGUGAGUAUUGUCUGCGCACAAAGAGAGAAAAGUGUUAAUUUCUCAAGAACAAAAGCUCAUAUUGCGGACUUGUCAUUGACAAGCAUGGCUUAUGAAAGUCACAAGGGAAGAGUGAAGCAGUGCUGCAGGCACCCAAACUUGAACACAACUCAGGUCAUAUAUGGGCCUUGUAAACUACUACUACUGUUUUCUCCCAAACACUGCUACAGUGCAGCACCCAUUGAAUGCACUGUUGCAGACAGGAGCAAAGUGGGAAUGGUCAGAAAGUUGUAAAAGAGCACUCAAGGAAACAAAAAACCUAAAAACAUUAGAUGAACUGCUUACCUAUUAUGACCCAUCUCUCACUGGCAUGCGAUACUUCCCUUUAUGUUUUUGGAGCCAUGUUGUCACACACUGUGAAAGAUGAAUCUGAACUUCCAAUUCCAUUUGCUUCAAGAUCACCGAUGAGGGCAGAACGCAACUCUGCAUAGUAGACCAAGAGACCCUUAGUGUAGUAUGGGGCUAAGGAAGUUCCAUCACUACCUCUACGGACAAAAGUUUGCUCCAGUGACAGACCACCAGCCCCUUGUGCCCAUUUUUAAUUCCAGGAAGAGAAUCGCAGUGAUGUCUGCUACUCAGUUGCAAUGCUGAGCACAUUUUCUUGAAGCCCACUUUGAUGGUAUAGAGUUCUAGGGCACCAAACAACACAACAAUGCUUUCAGUUUGUCACAGCUUCUACUGUUGGCAACUGAGGAAGAAAAAGGCUUAAUUCUGUGACCCAGCAGAAGUGCUCAACAGAGCAUAGGUGGCCAGUCACAAAUUCUGAAAUACGAGGAGAAACAAGGAAUGGCCCAACAUUGUCAAAAGUCAAUGACAUCACUGUGCAAGAAUGGCCAGCUCAUGGUAAUCCUCUGUUUCCAAAGUUCUCAGUGAGAUGAAACCAACUGUCUGUAUGUCAAAGAAAACUGAUGUGUGAAUCUUGUGUUGUGGUUCCUUCUAAACUGCACACCAGACUGUUUUAGAAAAUUUCUAUGAAGGACACCAGGGUACAGUCAAGAUGAAGAACCUCACUUGGAGCUAAGUGUGGUGGCCAGGAGUAGUUGGACAGAUUGAAGGCUUGACCAAAAGCUGUUCAGGAUGCCACACAGUUCCAAAUGCACCCCAACAGUCACCGAUACACCCAUGGGAGUGGCCAUCUUCACCCUGGCAAAGAGUACAUAUUGACUUUACUGAGCCAUUCAUAGACUCCAUGUUUCUGAUUGCUGUAGAUGCUCAUUCAAAAUGGACUGAGGUCAUACCAAUGAGGUUAAUCACCUAUGUAAAGACUGCUUCCAUUCUGAGGACUAUCUUCUUCAGACAUGGCUCACCAGAACCAACUGUGAGUUACAAUGGACCACAUGUCAGAGUUCAGACUGUUCAUGAAGAAAAAUAGCACCUAACAUUUCAAGUCAGCUCCUCACCACUCAGCAACAAAUAGGUUAGCUGAAAGGUUGAUCCAAACAUUCCAGAAUCUAUUAAGGCUAUGGACAAGGAGGAUAUUUCUCUACAGCAUAAGGCGGACAGCUUCCUUUUUGUGUAUUGGAACUCUGUUCAUGCGACAACAAAUCAAACACCUACAAGCUGCUCAUGAACAGGAAUCUCAGAUCUCACAUAGACCUCCUGAAACCAGAUCUACAGAAGACAGUGCAGAAUAAAUAGUGUGACCCGCUGCCAAGUAAACCAGCUUUGAGAUUGGACAGGAAGUCCUAGUGCGCGAUUACCGAGAAGACAAGAGGGUGUCUGGUCGGAUAGCUGCAAGAACCGGACAACUGAUGUACAUUUGAGAAAGAAAACAUUGGUUACAUAAAGGAUUUACUUUGGAUCACUAAUUUUCAACAGAAAAUAAUUCUUUUCAAGAUCACAAUUAAUUCAUAAAGCUUCUGGUAACUAUGAUGAAUCUGCUGAUGAGAGCUGAUUGAGACUCCACAGAGGAAGUAGACUUUGGAAGUGAAACAUUGCUUCAUCAGUUCCUCCAGUCUGGGUGAUCUACACCUGCUGCCAUUGAGAAAUACAUUGCUUACUGAUUGACAAGCAGUCUUGGCUAACUGUGGUCCAUGUGAUAAUCACUGUGUGAAUUCAGCAGGGCUACAUUUGCAUGCCAGAUUUUAAAGAAUUGGAACAUGAUAUUUGAACACAUAAUUGAGUGAAUGGAAAUUCCUGCUUCAUUACUCUUGUGUUCACUGGGCUUAUUUUAUUUAGUGAGACAGCACGGUAACAUGCCCUCCUGGCCCAAUGAGCCUAUUUACACCCAUGUGCCAAAUUAACCCACUAACCUGUAUGGCUUUUGAAUGAGGGAAUAAACCAGAGCAGACAGAGGAAAUGCGCGAAGGUCACAGAGAGAAUGUACAAACUCCUUUCAGGCAGCGACAGAAUUAAACUCUGCUUGUUCACACUGUAGAACUACUACAUUACCAUGUCAGCACAUUUUCUGGGCAGCCUCUUCCCAAUGUUGAUAUACCUCAUUCUGGCACCUUUGGGGAAAAGAAUCUUUCAGUUUCUUUAACUAAGAUACCAAAAGCAGUAUAUAUAAUUAUGGUCACCCUCUCUCUACCUAUCUGAGCGUCCUUCACACCCAUUACAGCUGAAUAAUUUGAAGCUAUGACAUGCUUAAGUGCUCCUUUUAAAGUUAGAGUCCUAACAUCAAUUUUCAUAUAAGUCCACAGAUGAACAGUAUUUACUUACUAACAAAUGUUUACUCUGUGGUAAUAGAACAAAGAUAUUUUGCUUGUCUAUUUACCUGUGGACUCUGAUAAAGACGUGUGCUGGCAUGACUAGAAUAAAUAGAUGCUUGUUACCACUGAAUCCACAUUUGGUAAGGCUGUUUAAGGGUGGGAAAAUUCAUAGCCCACGAUGCUUUCUGCACUUCUCUCCUUUUUGUUGGAAAAACUUCUUUAUGUCCUGUAGUCCCAAGAGUAGAAAUUAAAGUUGACUUAAAGGUAAUGAAUUCUCUCUGGACUACUUUUUAUUCAUAGGAUGCCAAUGGAUCACAAGUGGAGAGAGUGAGCAGUGUCAAGUUCCUGGUUAUCAAUAUCACUGAUGACCUAACCUAGACCCAACAUAUCAUUGCAGCCAUAAAGAAGGCAAGACAGCUGCUAUAUUUCAUUAGGAGCUUGAGAGAUCUGCUGCAGAAAUUAAACUUGCAACAAAUGAAGUGCCAAGAAAAAGAAUUCCUUUGGGCAACUCAUCCGUGCUGGAAGUUCAGAAGCUCUAAUUGUCUCUUAUUGUUCAUCAGCUAUUUUAUCUGCAGCACCCUGGCCAGAAGACCAACCUAUUGUGCAGGGACCUCUCUUCUCAACCCAGUGAUGGCUGUGCAAAGCCAUUGAAUGGGACUCUUGUACGAUAACACAGACUCUUGACCUCAGAAUUGACAUUGGCAUGACAUUGCACCCUAUUGUUUGUCUGCCCUACACUUUCUCUGUAACUGUAACGUUUUAUUCAUUAUCUUAUUGUUGCUUUCCCCUUGUGGGACAUUGAUGCAGCAAUGUGAUGAAACCAUCUAUUUGGAUGGCAUGGAAAACAAGUUUUUUUUGCGAUACCUCAGUACAAGUCUCAAUAAUAAGCUGAUUUACCAUUUUGCCAAUUUAAAUAUAUCACACAUUAUGCCUCUGGAGGAGACAAUCCUCAGAUUUAUCAUUAUGCUUUCAUUGGGCUUAUUGAUUGCUGGUGUUUUUGGGGCAACACCUUUUUCCUUUUCUGGCCAGGUACAAGGUAUUAAUACAUUUAAGAAGGUAUUUCUAUGUCCGGUUAUACCCUAUUAGGAUCUGAAAGAAACCUCCAUACUGAUAUUAAUUUGUUCAAAAUUGAGAAUUGGUGGAGCUACUCUCAACUUGUGCCUUGUAGAUGGUGGGAAAUUCUGGGGAGUAAGAAGGACUCUCAAGCCUUUAGCUAUUGUAUUUAAAUGGAUAUUUCAGUCAAGUUUCUCAUCUUUAGUGGUCAACAACAUAUUUUGAUGAUGACAUUAUUGUUGAUCACCAAGGUAAGAUGAUUAAAUUUAUGUUGAUAAUGGCUACUCUCUGAACACAUAUUCCUUAUCACUUAGCAGUCCAUUUCUGAAUUGUGUCUAGAUCUUGUAUGAAGGCAUGAAUUACUUUAAUAUCUGUGAAGAAGCUCAAGUUCCUGGGCAUCAACAUCUCAGAAGAUCUAUCCUAAACCAAAAAUAUUGAUGUAAUCACAAAGAAGGCAUGUCAGCAACUAUACUUUGUUGGGAGUUUGAGGACAUGCUGAACAUGUCCCUACUUUAGAACUACCUAGGCUUUACCCAUAGCCCUCUAUUUUUCUAAGCUCCAUGUAGCCAUCCAGAGAGUCUCUUAAAAGACCCUAUCGUUUCCGCCUCCUCCACCACCACCAGCAGCCCAUUCCAUGCACUCACCACUCUCUAGGUAAAAAACUUACCCCUGUGAUCUCUUCUAUACCAACUUCCAAGCACCUUAUAAACUGUGCCCUCUUCAGCUAGCCAUUUCAGCCCUGGGAAGAAGACUCUGACUAUCCAUACAAUCAAAGCCUCUCAUCAUCUUAUACACCUCUAUCAGGUCACCUCUCAUCCUCCGUUGCUUCAAGUAAAAAAGACUGAGUUCACUUAACCUCUUCUCAUAAGGCAUGCUCCCCAUUCCAGACAAAAUCCUUGUAAAUCUCCUCUGCACCCUUUCUAUGGUUUUUGCAUCCUUCCUACAGGGAGAUGAUCAGAAAUGAACACAGUACUCCAAGUGGUGUCUGGCCAGGGUCCUAUAUAGCUGCAACAUUACCUCUCGGCUCCUGAACUUAAUCCCAUGAUUGAUGAAGGCCAAUGCACCAUAUGCUUUCUUAACCACAGAGUCAACCUGCGCAGCAGCUUUGGGUGUCCUAUGGACUCAGACCCCAAGACCCCUCUGAUCCUCCACACUGCCAAGAGUCUUACCAUUAAUACUACAUUCUGCCAUCAUAUUUGACCUACCAAAAUGAACCACCUCACACUUAUCUUGGUUGAACUCCAUCAGCCACUUCUCAGCCCAGUUUUGUAUCUUAUUAAUAUCCCGUUGUAACCUCUGACAGCCCACCACACUAUCCACAACAUCCCCAACCUUUGAGUCAUUGUUGUAACUUCUAGUCACUUUUUAUGUCUUGCACUAUACUGGUGCCACAAAAUAACAUAUUUCAUGUCACAAACACAAGAGGUUCUGCAGAUGCUGGAAAUCCAGAGUAACCGAUACAAAAUGCUGGAGGAACUGAUUUAAGGGAACGAAAAUACUCAAGGUUUCAGGCCGAGACCCUUCAUCUGUCCUGAAGAAAGGCUUCAGCCUGAAAUUUCAUGACAUACUCUUAUAAGCCUGAUUCUGAUAGUGAAAUGAACACUGUGAACAUCGCUAUUUCUCAGUGGAUGAAGGAAAUAUUAUAGUUAAAAAAAGUUGAAUAUGGUUAGCCUUCAUUCAAUAUCCUGAGAAAUUUUGCAGCAAGGCCCUGAUGUUCAGAUAAUAGAUGUAUACCAAUCAUAGUCAUUUCCCAUCUAGUGGCCAGUGUCCUCCCUGAUUCCUUUUGACUUUUAAACUGACUUUCUGGUCCAUUUAUCAGUCAAGUAGCCUUUGAAUGAUUAUUUUAGUGCCAUUCACCUUAUUCAGCUCUUUAUUUUCCACACGCGAGCUAUGGAGCUCAGGGUUCCUGGCAGAACCUCUGGUUGGUUAUUGGUGAGAAUUUUGUUGCUUGUUAGCUCAGUUGACAAUGCUUUCCAUUUUUUGCUGAUGACAAUAACAAUAGAACAUAUUGGACUUGUCCAGCCUUUCACGAACAGAGGUUACCAGGAAACUUUCGCACAUUUGUCAGAUAAAUUUAUCUGUUAUAUUUGGUGUUUCUAAAAUUCCUGAGACAAGCUAGAUAAAUGUAAUAUGUUUUUAUUGCUUUUUGUAAAUGAAUGGUGUCAACUUUUCUUUUAAUAAUUAUCCUCCAGAAAUAUAAUGCCAUUGCAUUGAAAUUAGGCUUCACCCUCUUUUUUUUGCUGUGCUAAAUAUGUGCUGCAUAUAGUAUAAUGCCUAUGUCAAAUUCCUGGCAAAAACAGUCAUAAAAUUGGUCAAAAUAAGUUAGAAAUGCCAUUGUGGUGGAUCAUAGCCUAAAUUUUGCAUUAAAGCUGAACUAGCACAAUUCCCAGCAGCGUCACACUCACUUUAGAUCAACAUGACAGAGCAGUUAUUCAUCAACUGAGGAAGCAUGGUUGGAAAUAAUUAGCAAAAGAUUCCCUUGCCUGUUUUUGGCCUGAUACUUAUGGAUUUCAUUGUGGAGCAUGAAAUAGAGUUAACAAUCACAUCAAAUAGUUUUCAAGGUUCAUUUUAUUGUCAAAGUAUGCAUGCACAAUGCAACUCUGAUAUCUAUCUUCUCCAGAUAGCCAUGAAAAUCAAAACACCAUGAAUAUGGCUUUCCACUAUUUGCAGAUUUUUAGUGUAGUCCCUAGAAAUCUCACCCUAUCAUUUAGGUGCCAUUUCAUUAUCAUACCUACCCCACCUUCACUCUGCAGAGAUAAGUAAGUGAACCUGUGUGACAGUUGUUAGUAUUGUUGUGGGUCAUACAAAGUUACUAAUGAAAUGUUGUUAGUGGUAUUAUCAUUAAAAUAUCCAUUGAUUGGGUAUCGAACAAGACUGUCAUAAUUGUUUCCUAUGAACUCUGAAAGGUGUUUCUGCAGCAUGCAGUCAGUCUGAAGCUGCCCAUUAAUGACAGUCAUGUCCCUAUAUCCUUAAAGAAGAAUUCAGCGAAGUAAUGGAAUGCAUUCUCAGCCCAAAGCAUCAACUGUUUAUUCCCCUCCACAGAUGCUGCCUGACUUGUUGAGUUCCAUCAGCAUUUUGUGUGCGUUGCUCAUGAUUUCCAGCAUCUGCAGAUUCUUUUGUGUUUAUGAGAAUGCACUCUGAAAUGUACUGUGCUUGUUCAAUAAAGGUCAAAGGUUGUAUCCAGAAGCUCUAAUUUAGGUAAAUAACAGGAAUAUGCAAUAUACAACUUGUAGUGCCUGUAAGUACUUGACAUCAAUGGAAACAUGCCACACAAAGAUGAAUUGAAAUAUUCUGGCCAAUUUCCCAAUAUAUACUGGUUUGCUCUGAAAUACUUUAUUAUCACCAAUCAAUUAAUACUAGAGCGUACAAUCAUCACAGUGAUAUUUGUUUCUGCGCUUCGCGCUCCCUGAAGUACAAAUCAAAGUAAAUAUAAUAAAAAUUUAAAUUAAAAAUCAUAAUUAGAAAAUAGAAAAGGGAAAGUAAGGUAGUGCAAGUCAGGUCCAGAUAUUUGGAAGGUACGGCCUAACACAGACACUAACACAGAAAAAAUUUGGGUUAAAUCAAGUUUAAUAGACAUGCAAGAAAAGCAGCUAUAUCCUUAGCAACAAAGUUAUGAUAUUUCAAAGAUGAGCAAUCUGAAGUACCUAUUGGAUUUUAUGAAAGACAAUAAAAUAUUUGCAAUCAAUAGUGCUUUCAUGUAAUUAUAUUGUAACUACCAAUAAUUAUGGCAGUAUCAAAUAAUCAAUGUAUUACAAAUUAUGUUCAGCUUUGUUCACUUAUAAAUAAGAAAUGUUUCUUCAGUUGAACAUUUUUUAACAAUAACACGAUGCGAUUUUUGAGAGUAAAUUAUUUUUCAAAUCUGCAUCUUAUAUGACACAUAUCUAUAUUUCCCUUUAAAUAUUCAGAGAGAAGCUCUUUAGGUAAGCUAUAAAGGGUUUUACAGCUUCAUGAUACUUGCCAACUUCAAAGAUUAAUUUGUAACAUAGCAACUGGAAAGAUAAUCCAUUAUUCUAAAGACAUUUUAUGGCAUACUGAAUGAAUACAUUUAUCAAAUUCAUUGGUGGAACCAAAAGUGACUGGUCUGCAAUUGCAAUACUUUGGAAAAACAUUGCUCUAUUGAUAGGUAAACGGUGUAUUUACUGUAUAUUGCCACUAUUUAUUAAUGCAAAAAGGUUUCUGCUUUAUAUCAAUCUAGUACUAAAAACACACUGCAGGAUGACUGACAUUACUUAAAAGAAAAUUUCAUGCAUUUUUCGUCGGGAAUGCAUGAAUAUAAGUUCACUGUGUUUGAGUUUGUAUCCAGACCAAUUUUUGGAGGAUAUAAGAAUUCGGUAUCAUUUCAUUGAUAAUUUCCCUUUUUUCAAGUAUAUGUGAAGUUAAAUUAAAUCAACAGACAAUUUUUCUUUAAUUGACAAAGUUGAUAUUUACAAGUGUAAUGAAAAGAUAUACUUGUGGCAGUAUCACAGACACAGAGUUAGCGACACAACCUUCACAUGGUACAAAUUUAUGCAAGAAAGAACACAAUUAGAACAAAAGGAGCACAUUUAGGUCUGAGCCAUCACAUGGACAGCUGGGCAGAGAACUAAUAAUAAACCACUUUGGUCUAUUUUUUCAGACCAGAAAUCUCAAACUUACUACACCCAUUUCUCAAUUAGUUCUCUUACCAAAAGACUGCUUAAUCCUCUCUUAAAGUUUCUGUUUUUCAACUGAAGUUGCCAUCUAUUCCGAGUGUAACCAAGUGAUCGCUGAAUAUAAUUUUUUUAUUGUUAAGGUGCACUUAAGUAUUUACCCUGGUAAUGCUAAAAUAGCUGCCUGUGCCUUUAAGAGAAAGCAGUGCCGACAGUUUGCAUGGGUGGAGUAGAACAAAGAUUCACCAUGUUCUAGAGAGAACAAUGUUCGAGGGCUUUUCCCAGGUUUGGUGAGGAAAGGUGAAUAAUAUUUAAUAAUAUCCAUGUAAAUUCAUUUAUACUUGUUUGUAAAUCUAGAAUAUUGGUAAUUUGACAUGUUAUACAUUUGGAUGCUUUAGAUUUUCGUGAGAAAAUUAAUCAGUGCUGGGUUGUGUGAUUGGGUGAUGUUCCUUACUGGUCUAUUAAGUUAGUCUUUUUAGUAAUUCAACCACAAGGCAAUAUAUUGUAAAAUGUCUUGUAAAAGUUAAUUUUUGUCUUUCUUUAUUGUUUCAUGACUAUAUGUGAAUAUGUUAAUCUUUGUUCACGUAACGUGAGUGAGGAGAACUUGUUUCAAAGUCUAUAUGUGUUCGGAAGAAAAGCAUGUGUGUGCCGAAAUGAGUAUAUCUUAGUUAAGAUGAGAUGUAUUUAUUCAUAUUUUUUAUGUUGUGUGUAAUGUACCGGGUUGGUGGGAUUCUAAUGUUGUUUGUAAUUUCAGAAUUGCCACUACCAUAUUGGUUUUGUAUAUUUUGUUUUAGUUAUUUUCAUACUGCAUAGGUAACAAGGGUGUGGUCCGAAAUUAAGCUGAGAUUGUAACAGCAAGAACUAUGUUUUUUUUAAAUCAAUGUCGUCAUUUUUAUUUUGAUACCCUGUUUCUGCAUUAAAACAUCUAAAGCAGCUGAAGGAAUUAAAGACCUGAAAAAGUA